UAGAGGAAGUAAAAGUCGUAACAAGGUUUCCGUAGGUGAACCUGCGGAAGGAUCAUUAUUGAAUAAACUUGAGCAGGCUGUUGCUGGCCCCCUGGUGGGGGUAUGUGCACGCUUGUCAUCUUUAUCUCUCCACUGUGCACAUAUUGUAGGCCUGGAAGUGUAUUUUUAUUGUUCAAAUAGAUUGAGGACUGCUUGUCGCUUUCCUUGUUGAUUUCUGGGUCUAUGUUUAUUCUCAACAAACCUCAAUGUGUUUUAGAAUGUUUAAACUGGGUCUUUUGUACCUAUAAAAGUUAUACAACUUUCAGCAACGGAUCUCUUGGCUCUCGCAUCGAUGAAGAACGCAGCGAAAUGCGAUAAGUAAUGUGAAUUGCAGAAUUCAGUGAAUCAUCGAAUCUUUGAACGCACCUUGCGCUCCUUGGUAUUCCGAGGAGCAUGCCUGUUUGAGUGUCAUUAAGUUCUCAACCACACCAUUUAUAAUGAUGUGGCUUGGAUAUGGGUUUGCAGGCUUUGUUUUUGAAAAUGAAGUCGGCUCCCCUGAAAUGUAUUAGUGGUAUCUGAGCAGAAUCUAACCACAGGUGUGAUAAUUAUCUAUGCCUUGGUGUGCUGCAUGAACAGAUUACACUGCUUCUAACAAAGUGAAGCCCUUCUCUGGGCAUGCACGUUUUGACAAAUUUGACCUCAAAUCAGGUAGGACUACCCGCUGAACUUAAGCAUAUCAUA
This 720-nucleotide ribosomal RNA is filed under the name Inocybe luteobulbosa var. luteobulbosa. RNAcentral's name for it is "eukaryotic LSU rRNA". The stretch from base 297 to 450 matches the Rfam family "5.8S ribosomal RNA". The record is from RNAcentral. Lineage: Eukaryota; Fungi; Basidiomycota; Agaricomycetes; Agaricales; Inocybaceae.